CCCUGAUGAUAUAGCAUACAUCUUUGCUGGAUAUGCACCUCUUAGUAUUCGCCUUGUUCAGCAUGCAGUGAGGUCUGGAUGGCGAUCUAUUGAAGAACUGUUGAAAUUAUUGCCAGGUCCUCAUAUGGAUUUGAAAAGAGGUGUCUCGACCAUUAAUUCAUCAGAAUUACUACCAGGUUCCGGGUCACAACAGAGUACCGAC
Molecule: non-coding RNA, 202 nt
Organism: Triticum urartu
Lineage: Eukaryota; Viridiplantae; Streptophyta; Magnoliopsida; Poales; Poaceae
Source: RefSeq, a predicted model, not a curated record